Molecule: non-coding RNA, 64 nt
Filed under: Ruminococcus bromii
Lineage: Bacteria; Bacillati; Bacillota; Clostridia; Eubacteriales; Oscillospiraceae
Source: RNAcentral
AUAAGGGAAUGAUGUUCUCCCACGGCGUAUGCCGAAACCGCCUUUAAGCUGAUGACUUCUGUUU